UCCAGCACCUCGCGUGGCAAUGCGCUGCAGGCUUUCAGGCGGUCGAGCGAGCGGCAGCGCCGACGAGCGCCCCCUCCCCACCAUGGCAUUCGGCGGCAUCCCAGCGCCCCAUCCGCUUUCCUCUCGCGUGGCUCGUGGGCAGUGCCCGACCGACCACGGUGCCAGCGGCGCGGCUCUACUGCAGGGCGUCGCGUGGGGCUAGGCCGGUCAUGGCUAUGGCUCCGUGCUCGCGAAGGGGAGGGUCAGGGCAGGCUCCGGCCACCGGCGGUGGCUGCCAGUGUUCACACAUGGAGCAACGGGGCCUGCUCGGAGGACACGCAGUCGACGGCGGCGCUGGUUGCCGCACGGCAGAGGGCCACGGUGUCCCAGCCCCACGUGACCAGAGAAGAGCAAGGGGAGGGCUAUAGGCUGCGACCGGUGGUGUUGGAGAUCUGCUGUGGGUCGGAUCCGGCGAUUGCAGCUCGCCAGCUGCUCCAUUCGACUAGAUCUACACAUCGAGGGCCGACUCAGUGCGUCGCCACCGCCGUAGGCUGGCUGGUAGUCUUGGACGGGCGAGCCCCAUCCCCUUCACGCGUGCACAGCGCUGUACGAGCCUCCUUCUCUGUUGUCGUGAAGCUGCAUGCACAAAUGCUCAUUACAAUGAAGCUUCUCCAGAUGGAGUGACUAGCAGGAUCGUGAAGCUUUUUUCUCGAUUUUGUUCCGUGUCUGCCUCUUAAACAGUUAUGGCUUAUAAAAAAUUAUUAUUUUUCUUUUAAUUGCAAGCUGCAGCAAGGCGUUGAGUCUAGGCUAAGGAGGCCACCGUUGUCACUGCAUAUCAGUUAUUCAUGCUUCUCCUAGCAGGCUAGCACCUGGGCUUCCGGUGUCGUCAGGGCCAGCCCGCGCACGGCGCAGACUUUGCUUCCCUCACCAGGAGCUUCGAGUGGGAUGAGGAAGCGAGCAGAUUGAUAAGACGCCACGACACUAGGCGUGGUCGCCAUAUUGCUCGGUAGUAGCUUCGCUUCACACAUGGCCAGUGCGUUUUCUAUGGCCCGCUUGGCUCCUUGGCAGGAUACGAUGAUCGAGCUCCUGAAGUCCGAGCGAGAGUCACGGCGAGUAGUAUCCCACUGUGCAUGCUUCUUGUUUCCAGAAUUAGAGAGCAAAUUUGGAACAUAGGGAUUGAUUGAAAUCCACUAACCCUGGUGGUCCGGGUGCCAUUAUUCCGAUAAACAUUAAUGCAACUCCAUAGUAUGUUGGUUCACCUACAGUUUCUUUAACCUAUAAUUGGACAGAGCAUAUGUCCCCUGAAGGUUUUAAGUACUAUUACAAUAGAGAGAGUAAGGCGAGGAAUGAUGCUCAUCAUGUUAAUACGAGCUACUGUGUCCAUACAACGGGAGAAGCAGCCUGAAGAGUAUGAGUUGUAUGAGCUGCAGCAGAAAUUGCUUUUGCUUCAACAGCACCAACAAAAUUUUAUACAUUAACAGAGCAUAUCUUAUACAAUACUGGAACACAAUUUUAUACAUUAACGAAGCACAUUGUAUACAUUGUUAGAACACAAUUUAUACAUUUGUUGGGGGCAUAUUUAUACAUUGUUGUGGCUACGUCAAGAAUCAAGAUGAGGGCUGGGGCGGACUCGACGGUGUGGGGGCUGAGGGGAGGGCUCCAGAAAGCGCCAUGUAGUGUGGGGGCUGAGGAGAGGGCUCCAGGAAGCGUCGUGUGGCUAGAGAAGAAGGCUGACAUGUCCGUGCUUCGGCCACGGCGCAAGGUGAUAAUAUUUCCUAUUAGUGUUCUAUGAAUUGAUCUGCCCCUAUUGGCUUCCCUUUUAUGCACUCAAUAUUGCUAGUUUUAUAGGUACAUUUUCUCAUCUGUGUCUAUAUGAUUUGAAUACAAAUUGUGAAUUAGAUUAUUUGCAAGAUGCCAACCACUAGUUUUUUUUUUUUUUGCUUUCCUUUGGUUACUAUGCUUGCAUGCACAUUUUUUCUAUGCAUGCUUAAUUGUGUUUUGAGACCUGAUUAGAACAAAAAAAUAUUUUUAUACAUGAAUUAUUAUAUACAAGUUGUUCAUUAUACUUGAGGGAAAUGUUUGAUUUGUACUUACUAUAUUUUAUAUGCAUCCACUCUUGAUUUAAUUAAGGGGAACAUGCUAGGCAUGUUCUAUGCAUACAUACAAAAUCUCUAAUAGUGGACUGUACAUGUUGCGCCCCUAAGUGCAGGCUCAAAUAGAGUUUCUAUGCAUAUAAAAGUGAGUUUCUGUUCUAACAUUAGUGAGUUUCCAUGCAUAUCAAAGUUGGUACUACAUCUUCAUUUUUCUUCGAUUUUACCUUGUGUAUGCUUUCUUUGAUUCAAUUGCUUAGAUAUGGGUUGCAAGGAUGUUGUUCGCAGCACCAAGGAUGUGUGCGUGCUGCCAGCAGGAAAGAGGAAUAGGUAGAUUUUUUAUGAACAUAAAUUAUAUUUUUUGCUGUAUAAAAAUAUUUUUUACUAGAACAAUUUGGUACUACGUCCUCCAAAAUGAAAUCUUUUUAUUUUUGGGUGCAUAGAAAUUAAAAUCUUAGUAUUUAGAUAGGUAGCUACUCAGUUUUUUAUGCUGGUAGGCCGCAGGCGGCUGCUAGUUCAAUAAUCUAGUGGCAAGGUUUCUAUGCGGGCAAUUUUAGGCAGAAAGAUGCAUGUGUGAGUUUGGUAAUCUAACGACAAGGUUUCCAUGCAGUUUAGAAGCAUUCACGUGUCACCGGUUGCAAGCUUCUGUUCCUUUUUUUGUUUUUUUAUAAAUUCGUACGUACUCAAUUAUAGGCUCAAUUUAAUCGUUAAGUGUGCUCGUUGCUCCUAGGCAUGGAGCAGUCCGUAAGAACUCAUGCUUGCGCGCUGCUCACAUACUUUCUUAAUGUUAUCAUUGCUUUUUAUGUCACUGCCUGUUUAUGAUGUUUGUGCUGACGAUUUGCUUAGGGUUUCUAUGAAUGUUUUAGCAAUUAUGCCAGAUAUCAAAGCCAUCUUAAUUUUAUUUCUGCAUUUUUUGCCCUAAGGAGAUGAUGAAGAUCCAACAACUGGUGAGUACUUGCUUAUACUCAGAUCACUAGUGGCUUUGAUGACAUGAUCGAGGAGGUAUUUUUUUUGGAGGACAUUUCAAUAUUUUGAUGGAGCAGUUAUCUAUGUAUUUCUACACAAUUAUACAUUGUUGGAGCACACUUGUAUGCAUUGUUAGAACACUUUUCUAUACAACUUUCUAUGCAUUGUUUGGGUUAGGGCCACCACGAUUCCGGUACAAUAAUUCCACAUUUUUGUAUUUUGUUGGAGCAGUUAUCUAUGUAUUUCUACACAAUUAUACAUUGUUGGAGCACACUUGUAUGCAUUGUUAGAACACUUUGAUAUAAAUUAUUGGAAUAGUUUUUGUAAACUUCUACACGAUUCUAUAUAUUAUUGAUACAUAAUUCUAUACAACUUUCUAUGCAUUGUUUGGUUAGGCCACCAUGAUUCCGGUACAAUAAUCCCCCAGAAAGAAGGUUAUUUUGUGUUCUAUGCACUAUCCCUCUAUUAAUUUUACCUCUCUGAGAAUAAUGUUUUGGGAUGGGGCUGCCACGGUUUUGGAUAAAAUAAUCCCCCACUAAGGAGGGUUGUAUCGGGUUCUAUGCAUUGUUUCUCUAUUAAUUACCAAGUUAGAUGCAAGGUUUGGUUACGACCAUAAUAGGUUUCUAUGCUCGCAAAAACAUGUUUACGUGCCUUUUUUGUCGCUGUAAGGUUUUCCCGCGCACUACAUGUUUCUAUGCCUUUCUUAUGCUGCUGUCAAGUUUCUGCACCUGCUAAAACAUGUUUCUUUGCCUUUGUUGUGAUAUAGCAUGGUUGGAAAGAUUCCUCUCCAUUUGGCGUGAGAGGUCAAUGGUGGCUCAGACAUAGGACAUGGCUUGUGACGUCCACGGCUUCCUUGGCUUGCGGUGGUGGCGCAGUGUGAUCUUAAUGUAGUUGAUUGGUUAAUGUAAAAGGCUAGGUUUCCAUACAUUGUAUUUAUAUGCUUGGAUGAGAUGAGCAAAACUAUUUGUUUCUAUGUAACCUCAGUUGGAUUCCAAUAUAUUG
Long non-coding RNA from Sorghum bicolor (sorghum), 4037 nucleotides. RefSeq lists it as uncharacterized. The transcript is spliced from 4 exons. The record is from RefSeq and is a predicted model, not a curated record. Lineage: Eukaryota; Viridiplantae; Streptophyta; Magnoliopsida; Poales; Poaceae.